ACGGGUGCGUAACACGUGAGUUACAUGCCCUGCAGUGGGGAAUAGCCCGCCGAAAGGCGGAUUAAUACUCCAUGGUCCCGCAAGGGUAAAGGUGGCGCAAGCUGCCGCUGCAGGAUUGGCUCGCGGCCUAUCAGCUAGUUGGCGAGGUAACGGCUCACCAAGGCGACGACGGGUACCUGGUCUGAGAGGAUGAUCAGGCACACUGGAACUGAGACACGGUCCAGACACCUACGGGUGGCAGCAGUCGAGAAUAAUUCACAAUGGGGGAAACCCUGAUGGUGCAACGCCGCGUGGAGGAUGAAGGUCUUCGGAUUGUAAACUCCUGUCAUCUGGGAGUAAGACCUGACGGUGAAUAGCCGGCAGGGUUGAUAGUACCAGAAGAGGAAGGGACGGCUAACUUCGUGCCAGCAGCCGCGGUAAUACGAAGGUCCCAAGCGUUGUUCGGAAUCACUGGGCGUAAAGGGAGCGUAGGCGGCGUGGUAAGUCAGAUGUGAAAUCCCGGGGCUCAACCCCGGAACUGCAUCCGAUACUGCCAUGCUUGAGGGUUGGAGAGGUAGCUGGAAUUAUCGGUGUAGCA
RNAcentral lists this ribosomal RNA (577 nucleotides) under uncultured Verrucomicrobiaceae bacterium. Its description in RNAcentral is "bacterial SSU rRNA". It matches the Rfam family "Bacterial small subunit ribosomal RNA", at positions 102 to 680 of the family's 1533-position model. The record is from RNAcentral. Lineage: Bacteria; Pseudomonadati; Verrucomicrobiota; Verrucomicrobiia; Verrucomicrobiales; Verrucomicrobiaceae.